AUUGAACGCUGGCGGCAUGCCUUACACAUGCAAGUCGAACGGCAGCACGGGGGCAACCCUGGUGGCGAGUGGCGAACGGGUGAGUAAUACAUCGGAACGUGCCCUGAAGUGGGGGAUAACGUAGCGAAAGUUACGCUAAUACCGCAUAUUCUGUGAGCAGGAAAGCAGGGGAUCGCAAGACCUUGCGCUUUAGGAGCGGCCGAUGUCGGAUUAGCUAGUUGGUGAGGUAAAGGCUCACCAAGGCGACGAUCCGUAGCGGGUCUGAGAGGAUGAUCCGCCACACUGGGACUGAGACACGGCCCAGACUCCUACGGGAGGCAGCAGUGGGGAAUAUUGCGCAAUGGGCGAAAGCCUGACGCAGCCACGCCGCGUGAGCGAUGAAGGCCUUCGGGUCGUAAAGCUCUGUGGGGAGAGGACGAAGAAAGACCCGUGAAGAGACGGGCCGUUGACGGUAGUCUCCUUAGCAAGCACCGGCUAACUCCGUGCCAGCAGCCGCGG
Molecule: ribosomal RNA, 498 nt
Filed under: uncultured bacterium
Lineage: Bacteria
Description: bacterial SSU rRNA
Rfam family: Bacterial small subunit ribosomal RNA
Source: RNAcentral